This 253-nucleotide ribosomal RNA is filed under the name uncultured bacterium. RNAcentral's name for it is "partial 16S ribosomal RNA". It matches the Rfam family "Bacterial small subunit ribosomal RNA", at positions 524 to 776 of the family's 1533-position model. The record is from RNAcentral.
UACGAAGGGGGCUAGCGUUGUUCGGAAUCACUGGGCGUAAAGCGCACGCAGGCGGAUCGAUAAGUCGGGGGUGAAAGCCCGAGGCUCAACCUUGGAAUUGCCUUUGAUACUGGCGGUCUCGAGUCCGGAAGAGGUUGGUGGAAUUCCUAGUGUAGAGGUGAAAUUCGUAGAUAUUAGGAAGAACACCAGUGGCGAAGGCGGCCAACUGGCCCGGUACUGACGCUGAGGUGCGAAAGCGUGGGGAGCAAACAGG